GGGGGCGUACUGGUUUCGACGGGGUCGUUGAGACUGGAGAAGCGGGUAGAGGAUCCUCGUUGGCCUCUCUAAAAAACGGGGACUUUUAUAAUUGCCAAUAAACCGGCACUCGCAGCUGCCUAAAACAGUUGCCGUCAGCCCAUCCGAUCUGCUGGAUGGAUCACUGGCGUCAGAGAGCAGACCUUACCUGUCGGUAGGUUAAACAGGAAAACGGAUCAGGUUGAGCCUGGCACCUGGUUCGUACAACAGGCUACCGGACCGUAACUGCCUGUCAGCGGACAGAGCGGAAGGGGAAUACUCUAAUCGUUGACUGCACCCGGAGAUGCUCCAGAGGAUAGGGUUUCGGACAGGGGUUCAACUCCCCUCGCCUCCACCA
Molecule: transfer-messenger RNA, 376 nt
Filed under: Clostridiaceae bacterium
Lineage: Bacteria; Bacillati; Bacillota; Clostridia; Eubacteriales; Clostridiaceae
Also listed under: 1 other name
Rfam family: transfer-messenger RNA
About the family: Bacterial tmRNA, also known as 10Sa RNA or SsrA, is named for its dual tRNA and mRNA-like properties. Its role is to liberate the mRNA from a stalled ribosome.
Source: RNAcentral